AGAGUCCUCAUGCACCUAUAGUUGUAUGGUCUGCAGUGAGGUAGCCGAUGCCAGAGCUGUGUCCUCCCUCCAUAGAAGCCAGGAGAAAGGCCAGACCGAAGUGACCUGCUGAAGCCUUUGUCUUUUGACAUUGAAUUCGGUUUGCCCACUGCCAUCAAGACUGCUUUUAAGGAGCUUCCGCGGCAUGAUCUCUUACAGGAACCCGGAGGGCCGAGAAGUCCUGCUGUGUUUGGUGCCAUCAUCUCUUACUUUGAACAGUUUUUUGAAACUGUUGGAAUUUCUCUGGCAAAUCAACAGUUGGCAAACUCUUGUGCGCAGAACCAGAGAUGAGUCCAUCUCAGCAACAGUGUCGCCAGCUCUGCACACACAUUUAUGUUGAAAGACUCUCAGAAUGUGCAGAAGUCACAGGCACAUGCGUUUCAGGAGACGGCAGCGAGGCUACCUUGCAUGGUGUGGUGGACGAGCUGGUGCGGUUCCGGCAGAAGGUCCGGCAGUUUGUGCUGGCCAUGCCCGAGGCCACGGGGGACGCCCGGCGGCAGCAGCUCCUAGAAAGGCAGCCCCUGCUGGAGGCAUGCGACACCCUGCGCCGGGGCCUGACUGCCCACGGCAUCAACAUCAAGGACAGAAGCAGUACAACAUCCACGU
RNAcentral lists this small RNA (645 nucleotides) under Pongo abelii (Sumatran orangutan). RNAcentral's name for it is "processed transcript". Lineage: Eukaryota; Metazoa; Chordata; Mammalia; Primates; Hominidae. The record is from RNAcentral.